UAGCAUAUCAAUAAGCGGAGGAAAAGAAACCAACAGGGAUUACCUCAGUAACGGCGAGUGAAGCGGUAACAGCUUCAAAUUUGAAAGCUGGCUCUUUUAGGGUCCGCGUUGUAAUUUGUAGAAGAUGCUUCGGGUGUGGCCCCGGUCUAAGUUCCUUGGAACAGGACGUCAUAGAGGGUGAGAAUCCCGUAUGUGACUGGGUGCUUUCGCUCAUGUGAAGCUCUUUCGACGAGUCGAGUUGUUUGGGAAUGCAGCUCAAAAUGGGUGGUAAAUUUCAUCUAAAGCUAAAUAUUGGCCAGAGACCGAUAGCGCACAAGUAGAGUGAUCGAAAGAUGAAAAGCACUUUGGAAAGAGAGUUAAACAGUACGUGAAAUUGUUGAAAGGGAAGCGCUUGCAACCAGACUUGCGCGCUGAUGAUCAUCCGGGCUUCUGCCCGGUGCACUCGUCUGCGCUCAGGCCAGCAUCGGUUUCGGUGGUGGGAUAAAGGCCUUGGGAAUGUGGCUCCUCUCGGGGAGUGUUAUAGCCCUCGGUGCAAUGCCGCCUACCGGGACCGAGGACCGCGCUUCGGCUAGGAUGCUGGCGUAAUGGUUGUAAGCGACCCGUCUUGAAACACGGACCAAGGAGUCUAACAUCUAUGCGAGUGUUUGGGUGUCAAACCCAUACGCGUAAUGAAAGUGAACGGAGGUGAGAACCCUUAAGGGUGCAUCAUCGACCGAUCCUGAUGUCUUCGGAUGGAUUUGAGUAAGAGCAUAGCUGUUGGGACCCGAAAGAUGGUGAACUAUGCGUGAAUAGGGUGAAGCCAGAGGAAACUCUGGUGGAGGCUCGCAGCGGUUCUGACGUGCAAAUCGAUCGUCAAAUUUGCGUAUAGGGGCGAAAGACUAAUCGAACCAUCUAGUAGCUGGUUCUGCA
RNAcentral lists this ribosomal RNA (909 nucleotides) under Rhizoctonia silvestris. Its description in RNAcentral is "LSU rRNA". It matches the Rfam family "Eukaryotic large subunit ribosomal RNA", at positions 36 to 961 of the family's 3401-position model. The record is from RNAcentral. Lineage: Eukaryota; Fungi; Basidiomycota; Agaricomycetes; Cantharellales; Ceratobasidiaceae.